UGUCCCAGUUCGGACUGGAGUCUGCAACCCGACUCCACGAAGUUGGAUUCGCUAGUAAUCGCGCAUCAGCCAUGGCGCGGUGAAUACGUUCCCGGGCCUUGUACACACCGCCCGUCAAGCCAUGGGAGCCGGGGCGCCUGAAGUCCGGGACCGCGAGGACCGGCCUAGGGCGAAACUGGUAACUGGGGCUAAGUCGUAACAAGGUAGC
Molecule: ribosomal RNA, 208 nt
Filed under: uncultured bacterium
Lineage: Bacteria
Description: partial 16S ribosomal RNA
Rfam family: Bacterial small subunit ribosomal RNA
Source: RNAcentral